GGUAGGGUGGCCGAGGCAGGUGGCGGAUUGUAGCUCCGAAGACGGGGGUUUGACUCCUCCUCCUACCA
RNAcentral lists this transfer RNA (68 nucleotides) under Chirocentrus dorab (Dorab wolf-herring). RNAcentral's name for it is "tRNA-Tyr". It matches the Rfam family "tRNA". From Rfam's summary of the family: Transfer RNA (tRNA) molecules are approximately 80 nucleotides in length. Their secondary structure includes four short double-helical elements and three loops (D, anti-codon, and T loops). The record is from RNAcentral. Lineage: Eukaryota; Metazoa; Chordata; Actinopteri; Clupeiformes; Chirocentridae.